GACGAACGCUGGCGGCGUGCUUAACACAUGCCAGUCGAACGGAAAGGCCCUGCUUUUGUGGGGUGCUCGAGUGGCGAACGGGUGAGUAACACGUGAGUAACCUGCCCUUGACUUUGGGAUAACUUCAGGAAACUGGGGCUAAUACCGGAUAGGAGCUCCUGCUGCAUGGUGGGGGUUGGAAAGUUUCGGCGGUUGGGGAUGGACUCGCGGCUUAUCAGCUUGUUGGUGGGGUAGUGGGUUACCAAGGGUUUGACGGGUAGCCGGCCUGAGAGGGUGAACGGCAAAAUUGGGAGUGAGAUACGGCACAGAGUCGUACGGGAGGCAGAAGUGGGGAAUAUUGGAAGAUGGGUGGAAGUCUGAUGAAGCAACGCCGUGUGCGGGAUGACGGGCGUCGGGUUGUAAACCGAGUUCGCUCAUGACGAAGCUGUGCGUGACGGUAGUGGGUAAAGAAGCACCGGCUAACUACGUG
This 469-nucleotide ribosomal RNA is filed under the name uncultured bacterium. RNAcentral describes it as "partial 16S ribosomal RNA". It matches the Rfam family "Bacterial small subunit ribosomal RNA", at positions 28 to 507 of the family's 1533-position model. The record is from RNAcentral.